AGUUGCUAAGAGUAUAGGUGCUUGCUACCAUGCCCAGCAAAAUUUUAAGAUGUUUGGUAUAGAUGGGUUCUCACUACGUUACCCAAGCUGGCCUCAAACUCCUGGGCUCAAGUGAUCCUUUUGUGUCUGCCUGUAAGUGUUGGUCUUACAAGCAUGAGCCACUGUGCCCAGCCUCCUUUUUUCUCUCUCUUUUAUUUAUUUUUUUUUUUAGCCUACAUCAUUACUUAGACUGUGCAGAAUUAUAGUCAAUUUCUGAGUCAUCCCUUAUAGGAAAAGAGUGAGAACUUUCCCUUUUUCUCUCAUUUCACUGGAAUGCACAAUUGAGGGCUGUCUUGGACCAGCAGAUAGAGGACACAAUGAAACAGAAGAAGCCUGAAUCCUUGACAUGGAGCCACCAUACUCCAUUCCAACCACCUGUGAAGACUUUCAGGGGAACGAUAGCCUCAAUGUCAUAAGCAGCCACCUAUGAAGAGGCCCAUGUAGCAAGGAAUUGAGGCCUCCAGCCAAGGGCAGGUGAGUGCCCCAUUUUGGUAGCACAACCUCUGGCCCCAGUCCAACCUUCAGGUGACUGCAGCCCCAGCCAAAAUCUUGUUUGCAACCUCGUGAGACGCCCUGAGCCAGGCCCACCCAGCUGAGCCCCUCCAAGUUUGUUGUUUGAAGUUUUGGUGUAAUUGGUUUCACAGCAAUAGAAAGCAUUACACAAAGUGUCUUUCUAACCUGAAGACUCAGAAGGUCUUGGGUUUCCUGUGGGUAAUUGUUCUGGAAACCAAGGCAACAGGACCUAGGGCCAACUAAUUUCUCCCAGUUACUAGCCGUAUGACCUCAUGGAGAGGACUUCACCUCUCUGUGCCUCUGCUUCCCUACCUGUGAAAUGGAGAUAUAACUAACAACUACCUUCACAGGGUUCCCAUUGUCCUUCCUCCUACCUGGAAACUGACACUCUCUCAACCAGGGUCUCCAUCACCGCCUGGUUCUCUGUCCCCCUCUUUCCAGUUCUCUGUCCCCACCCAGCCCCUGUGUCUGUUCCUUCUCUCUCUGGGUCUCUAUCCCCCUCCUCUAUUUCUGGUCUUCUGUCUCACCCUGAUUCAGCUCUGUCCCCCAAAUCUCAGAGUCUCUGACUUAUUUUUCCUGAGUCUCUGCCUUUCUACUCUUUAGGUCUCUGUCUUCUUUUUUUUUUUUUUUUUUUGAGAUAGAGUCUCACUCUGUCACCAGGCUGGAGUGCAGUGGCACGAUCUCGGCUCUCUGCAACCUCCACCUCCCGAGUUCAAGCGAUUCUCCUGCCUCAGCCUCCCGAGUAGCUGGGAUUACAGGCAUGUGCCCCCCUCUGUCUCUGGGUCUCUGUCCUCCUCUCUCUCUGGGUCUCUGUCCUCCUCUCUCUUGGUCUCUGUCCCCCACUCUCUGGGUCUCUGUCCCCCUCUCCCUGGUCUCCCUUCCCCUCUCUCUGGGUCUCUGUUCCCCUCUCUCUCUCUGGGUCUCUGUCUCCCUCUCUCUCUGGGUCUCUGUGUCCUUCUCUCUGCCUGUCCCCGCCUUCUCUCUGGAUGCAGCUCAGGUGCUGGGUGCUGGUUCCAGCUCCUGCUGCCCCCCUCACCUCUCCAGCAGGCACCCCAAGGUCAUUACUUUUUCCAUUUCACAGAGAAGGAACUUGAAGCCCGUUAGAGGCCGACACUCCCCUGCAGCCCCACAGCGAGCUGGCAGCUGUGUCAGACCUUGAUCCUGGCUGCCUGGGGUACUUUCUCAGGCUUCACGAUCCAGUGGGGGAUGUGACUCAGAAAUAGCUCUGGUGGGAGGCAAACGGCUGCAAGUGCUGCCUGAGGGACACUCCCCAAGACAGGGCGGAGAGCUCUUCUGUCUGAGGGAGGAGAUGUCUCCCAGACAUCCUUCCCAGCCCAGACUCUUUGCCCUGUUCUCUGCAGCUCCUCCUCCUUCCCUGGACCCUCGCCCAGGCUCCCCUCUGGCCUCCCUGCCUCAGUCUCUCCCCUCCAAACAUCCCCCACUCAGCCCAAGGGAGUCUUGGGGAGAGAAAGCCCUUUUGCAUUAGUGACAAAAGCAGCAGCCUUCUUGUCUUGGUCCUGCUUCUUACAACCCCUCCAACCUUGACCUUGUGGAGGUUACUACACCACUGUCUACCUUAGUUGUUUCUUUUUUUUUUUUGAGACGGAGUUUUGCUCUUGUUGCCCAGGCUGGAGUGCAAUGGCACGAUUUCGGUUCACUGCAACCUCUGCCUCCCAGGUUCAAGC
This 2237-nucleotide long non-coding RNA is filed under the name Homo sapiens (human). RNAcentral's name for it is "HSALNT0261377". Lineage: Eukaryota; Metazoa; Chordata; Mammalia; Primates; Hominidae. The record is from RNAcentral.